UGGGGAAUCUUGGACAAUGGGGGCAACCCUGAUCCAGCAAUGCCGCGUGAGUGAAGAAGGCCUUCGGGUUGUAAAGCUCUUUUGUCAGGGAAGAAACGGUAGUAGCGAAUAACUAUUACUAAUGACGGUACCUGAAGAAUAAGCACCGGCUAACUACGUGCCAGCAGCCGCGGUAAUACGUAGGGUGCAAGCGUUAAUCGGAAUUACUGGGCGUAAAGCGUGCGCAGGCGGUUGUGUAAGUCAGAUGUGAAAUCCCCGGGCUCAACCUGGGAAUUGCAUUUGAGACUGCACGGCUAGAGUGUGUCAGAGGGGGGUAGAAUUCCACGUGUAGCAGUGAAAUGCGUAGAUAUGUGGAGGAAUACCGAUGGCGAAGGCAGCCCCCUGGGAUAACACUGACGCUCAUGCACGAAAGCGUGGGGAGCAAACAGGAUUAGAUACCCAGGUAGUCCCUGAGCGGGCUGGCAAGGCGCAU
Molecule: ribosomal RNA, 472 nt
Filed under: uncultured bacterium
Lineage: Bacteria
Description: bacterial SSU rRNA
Rfam family: Bacterial small subunit ribosomal RNA
Source: RNAcentral